Molecule: ribosomal RNA, 253 nt
Filed under: uncultured bacterium
Lineage: Bacteria
Description: partial 16S ribosomal RNA
Rfam family: Bacterial small subunit ribosomal RNA
Source: RNAcentral
UACGUACCGUCCAAACGUUAUUCGGAAUCACUGGGCGUAAAGCGCACGUAGGCGGAUUGUUAAGUCAGGGGUGAAAUCCUGGAGCUCAACUCCAGAACUGCCUUUGAUACUGGCGAUCUCGAGUCCGGGAGAGGUGAGUGGAACUGCGAGUGUAGAGGUGAAAUUCGUAGAUAUUCGCAAGAACACCAGUGGCGAAGGCGGCUCACUGGCCCGGUACUGACGCUGAGGUGCGAAAGCGUGGGGAGCAAACAGG